This 140-nucleotide ribosomal RNA is filed under the name uncultured bacterium. Its description in RNAcentral is "partial 16S ribosomal RNA". It matches the Rfam family "Bacterial small subunit ribosomal RNA", at positions 355 to 507 of the family's 1533-position model. The record is from RNAcentral.
UGGGGAAUAUUGGGCAAUGGGCGAAAGCCUGACGCAGCGACGCCGCGUGGGGGAUGACGGCCUUCGGGUUGUAAACCUCUUUCAGCAGGGACGAAGCGCAAGUGACGGUACCUGCAGAAGAAGCACCGGCCAACUACGUG